GGAGGUGUGGCUCAGUGGUAGAGUGUGUGCCUAGCACGCACGAGGUCCUGGGUUCAAUCCCCAGUACCUCCA
This 72-nucleotide transfer RNA is filed under the name Camelus bactrianus (Bactrian camel). It matches the Rfam family "tRNA". From Rfam's summary of the family: Transfer RNA (tRNA) molecules are approximately 80 nucleotides in length. Their secondary structure includes four short double-helical elements and three loops (D, anti-codon, and T loops). Further hydrogen bonds mediate the characteristic L-shaped molecular structure. tRNAs have two regions of fundamental functional importance: the anti-codon, which is responsible for specific mRNA codon recognition, and the 3' end, to which the tRNAs corresponding amino acid is attached (by aminoacyl-tRNA synthetases). tRNAs cope with the degeneracy of the genetic code in two manners: having more than one tRNA (with a specific anti-codon) for a particular amino acid; and 'wobble' base-pairing, i.e. permitting non-standard base-pairing at the 3rd anti-codon position. The record is from Rfam by way of RNAcentral. RNAcentral also lists the same sequence under 2 other names. Lineage: Eukaryota; Metazoa; Chordata; Mammalia; Artiodactyla; Camelidae.